Molecule: ribosomal RNA, 253 nt
Filed under: uncultured bacterium
Lineage: Bacteria
Also listed under: 1 other name
Description: partial 16S ribosomal RNA
Rfam family: Bacterial small subunit ribosomal RNA
Source: RNAcentral
UACGAAGGGGGCUAGCGUUGUUCGGAUUUACUGGGCGUAAAGGGUGCGUAGGCGGAUUUUUAAGUCAGGGGUGAAAUCCCAAGGCUCAACCUUGGAACUGCCUUUGAUACUGGGGAUCUUGAGUCCGGGAGAGGUGAGUGGAACUGCGAGUGUAGAGGUGAAAUUCGUAGAUAUUCGCAAGAACACCAGUGGCGAAGGCGGCUCACUGGCCCGGAACUGACGCUGAGGCACGAAAGCGUGGGGAGCAAACAGG